This 1230-nucleotide long non-coding RNA is filed under the name Marmota monax (woodchuck). Lineage: Eukaryota; Metazoa; Chordata; Mammalia; Rodentia; Sciuridae. The record is from RNAcentral.
GGCAGGAGCACGCGCAGGUCCCAAUGCGAUAGCCGCGCAGCGCGACUUAAGUCCCCGCGGGCACUGCCGCCUCCUGCUCCCAGGCUCUUCACCGGUUGCAUUGUGGAAGUUUGACCUUAGCCAUUUCAGCUUGUGCCCUGGCUGAGGACGAAGUAAUACCGAAGUGUCUCCUCCUCAAUGGAAUAAUGUUGGCUUUCACAGUGUUGGCACAGGGUUCCCCCUCCCGCCGCCCCUGUGUUUUAUGCUGCUUAAGGACAGUUUUCUCCCAAAGGAACUAUUAGGGGAAAUGGUGUGGGGUGUGUGUGUGUGUGUGUGUGUGUGUGUGUGUGGUGCGCGCGCGCGUGUUUUCUUUUUGGCGCAUGCACACCCUCGGUAGCCUCAAGGUCGGCAAUACCCUGAGCCUUCGCGGGCCCCCCAGCCGACCCUGUACCUUCCAGCCAGCCAAGGACUCCGGAAGGAGGGAGUCCCCGGUCCCGGCGGGGCGUCCUGAGACUAGGUUCAGUUUUUAGCAAGGUCGGUACUGAAGCAAGGCAAGUGGGAGCUGGGUUCCCCGAAGAUUUACUUGUAUCACCGCGAGUGGGAAGCGGGGGCCUGGCUGGUUCCAGCCGCGCCCCCCGUCCGGUGCCCGCACCCAGGGGCACCCCCGCCAGCUUUCCGCGCCCCGGACCCGGGAGGAGGGGGUGUGCGGUGCUCCCUGGCAGCGAGCUGUCACGGAAUUUGAUUGACACCCGAGUGGCAGCUGGUCCCGGCCAGGACUCCUGUCCUUCUCAAAUGGAAACACUUUCUCCCAGUGAACCUACCGGAAUUCUCCGAGGAAUCGCACUUGGGCUUUGCCCCCUGGCGCAUUUAACCAAGGCCGCAUUUACCACUUUGAGGCGAGGAAUUCUUCAAAUGGAGCGGGGUUCCUGGUUGCAGAACAAGGUAAGCUCGCGACGAAGGUGACAUUGUUUGGGGGCUACAGAUUUAGUGGGAACAAGUCUCCCCCAGGCAAGAUGGUGAAGUUUGCCCUGGGGCUUCCCUCCCCCCACGCCAGGCCUCAGGUCCGCUGCAAAGUCUCUUCCUGCUCUGCCUUUCCCCCCACCCCCGCCGGGGCUCCUACCUUAAAAAGAGAGAUUCGGGAGUGGGUGGGAUUCCCUGAAGCUCUUACUUUUAUCAUGGUAAUGUUCUACACUGAAGGUCAAGGCUGUAGCAUGACCUGAAGUUUCCCAGUCUCCCCAUCGUCCCUUGCCU